UUGGGUUCUGGGCAGCAGUUCAAUUAGGAACUCUACUUCUCGUGGGGGAGGCAAACUAAGAAGUUCAAUGAGAACGACAUCUGAAAAAUUGCAAACAAUCGGUAUAGAACACACAGCAGGAUCAACACCCAUAUUCUUAUUUAUUCAAUUGUUAGGAAAAAUAAUAACAAUAGAUUUUAUUCCUUUUUCACGGACCGCAAAGUUAUAAUUUUACUUUCACAAUCGCUUAUUGCUUUAUACUUUUCUAACCAGUCCAUUCUUAAUAUCACAUCAAAUCCUGAAAAAUUUAACAAUAUUAUAUUCACAAAUACUUCUAUCUCUGAAACUUUUAUCUUAUAAUCUUUAUAUACACAGUGAGCUGCUAAUAGUCCCCUAGAGGAAGUUUCUACUAUUAAUAUUUUUGCUAAAGGUUCUGGCCUAAAAUCAAGAUUACAAGUAAAUGCACAGGAAAUAAAAGAGUGAGUAGCACUUAUAUUGAUCAAAGUCUUGGCAGAAGUAUCAUGAAUAGAAAGCAUACCCUGAAUAAGAACAGGAGUGGGGAGAGCAGCAGGUUCAUCUAGGUGGUACACACAAGCUUGUGCUACAAGCUUGGUUAUGUCCUUCGGUCGUUGGGGGUAAUCUUUUAUAAGAUGUUGGGUGCUUCAGCACCAAUAAUAGGCGUGAUUGAUAUGUCGACAUGGCAAGUCACCAUGCGAGUGACCACAAUGCUGACAGGGUUGGUUAGGUCAGGCAAGCUGAGCUACAGGUGAAGUCAAGGUAGGGGAAAUGGCAACUCUAAUUCGUUUAUUGAGGUGGCUACUUACUGGAUCUGGCAAUCUCCUUCUAGGCCGUUAGGGUUGUUGUUCUUGGGCAUGUGAAAUGAGGUCUUCAGCCAAUUAGGCAUGUUCUAGCACCUUCGCAUAUGAGCUGGGUCUCAGCAUUGCAACCCAACCAUUGAUAUCAGCACGAAGGCCCUUUAGAAACUUCCUAGCUUUUUUACUUUCAGGGGGUGACCAUUAAAGAGGUGAAUCUAGAUAGUUGGACAAAACGGGCUGCAUACUAGGCAAUCGUUAGGUUUUUUUGGCGAAGAUUCUAAAAUUUCUACUCCUUUUUUUCCCAAACAUAGGCAGGAAAGAAAUUAUCACAGAAUGCACCCAUCAAAACUUCUAAGGUGGUAGGGGUAGGAAGUAUUUCCUUGUUAAGUCGUCACUAGUGUUCUGCUUCACUGUUUAGCAUAAAGGCUGCUAGGAAAACUUUAUGUUCCUCAGUUAGGUCUAAGAGAGAGAAAAGUUUUUCUAUCUAUAGGAUCUAGACUUCGGCUACUAAGGGAUCAGGGCCACCUUCGAAAUGAGGCGGGUUAAGCUUCCUAAACUCCACUAUGUUGUGGGAAAUGGACCUUUCAGUCAUUUGGUAUUCUGGGGCAGGAGGUGGAUAAGGGUUGGCUUGAUUUUUUCCUACGGUUGCAAUCAAUUUCUGGACGGUUAUGAAAAGUUCGGCAAAUUCAGCCUUGGUCGAGUGAUCUAGGGUUUCAGAUCGCUCAGUACGCUCUACGAAUGGUCUUCCUUGCGUCAUUCCUAUAAAAGAAAAGAAGAUACGAGUUAGUGGUCUGAUUUUUACAAAUAGGACUUAUUCUUCCUAGGUACUCUAAGGGUCUUUCGACCUAAGGCCUCAGUGUAAGGGAUUUGAUCCAUGUAAUUCUGCUCUAAUACCAUCUGUGACAUUCCAAAUGCUAAUUAAGGCAUGUGGGUAUCAAAUACAGAAAUAGAAUUAUGAGUGCAUGAUAAAAUUUUAUAUAGCGGAAUAAAUUAAUACAUAUCCUUUACAAAUAUAUAUGAGUUCCAAUUACAUAUAUAUAAUUGAGGCUAAAAGUGGCUACAAAAUACAAAAUCAAAAUAUAAAAGAGGGUAACUUCUUUCAUUACACUAUUGGACUCAUCAGAGUGCGGGAACAAUCAUACACUCAAGUUUUGUGGAUCCACGGGAUCCUCAUAAACUUCAAUAGGUAAGUCAGCUGGCAGUUCCUCAUUUUAUUCCUCGUCGGGGGNNNNNNNNNNNNNNNNNNNNNNNNNNNNNNNNNNNNNNNNNNNNNNNNNNNNNNNNNNNNNNNNNUCGGGGGGGGGGGAGGGGGAGGGCAUGAGAAGAGUGAGUUCUAUAAAGCUCAGUAAAAAAAAUAAUAUUUAAAUAAUAUCGUAAGGUUUUAAAGGUGAAUUAUUCUAACAUAAAUACUUAUCAUUUGGUUAUUUCGAAGACCUAUCUUAUAUUAUGAAAAUAAUUUAUUAAUUAGAGAAAAUAAUAUGUUAAUAUAAACUAACACACAUCAUACCAGAUAAUAGAGAAAAUCAAAUAAAUUAUGAAAUGCUCAGAUUUUUGUGUCAUGCUUCACAAAGUUAUUAUAACUUCCAUCUCUGAAGGCAGAUAUAGAUUUCUGACUACCCAUAUAGAAUGACCAGAUUAGAUACGGAUAACGAUAAUUUACUCAGGCACAUUUCCACUUAGCCAAACCAUGGUACGAUCUAUGAUCUACGACCACGACCGUACAAACUAUAGUGGCCCUAUCAGAUUUCUAUAAUCACGAUAGUACAUUUCCACUUAAUAAUUUUUGUUGUGUGCUCGUUCCGAGCCUGUUGUGCACCCAUGCGCGCGCACAAUUCACAAGUGCCCACACGGAGAGCACCCCUUUCUCGCUGGAUUUUCCCACGAGAUUUCUUCCACUUUGCCGUUUUUUUCUAAAUUCAUUUUUAAUCGUACUAAAAUAAAGUAAAAAUAAAAUUAAUGUAAUUAAAAUAAAAUUAAAUAGAAUUAAUUAAAAAUAAAAAUUUAAAUAAUAUAAAAAUAAUUAAAAUCGGUAUAAUUCACAAAUUACAAUAAUAACUUGUGGAAUAAAUUAAAUGAGUUUAAUGCGGCCUAAAGGCCUAAAAAAAUAGGAUUUCUUUGAAAUCAAUUAAGUACAGUGAUGGGUGGGGUGUUACAGUAGGACUCUACUUCUUUUGUUUUUUCUUUUCUCCCUUUAUCCACAUACUUUUUAUUCCAAUGAGGAUUCUUCUUGAUGAUCGCCUAGAAAAAAGAAGUACAGCUUGAGAAUAACUCUUUCUGUUGUAAAAACAACCUCUCUCACGUGUGAGGGAACCUUGCGGGUGGGGUUGCCCCUCCUACACAUGUGUUUGCCCACACAUGUGAACAAGGACAUUUACAUGAGUGGCAUGUGAGAUCUGUGACUUUCCUUGGCUGGUCUACCUUUAUUUGACCUUCUCUUAGGCCUCCCAAGUGAGCUCAUCAGUUACCCAUUAUUGGACCAAUAAGUUGAAAAAUAGUUAAAACUUCACCCAACUCCUCAAGAUUGGGCUUAGGGGCAUUUAGAUCCUGCUUCCUAACUCUCAAAGAUCAUCUUGAUUAUUUUUGGGCUGCCUUUGGACUUGAGAUGGAUUAGAAAAUAAUAAUGAAUUAGGAAAUGAGUUAGGCUCCAAGUAGGUUUUCACUCUAGUGCUUGGGCCAGGAGUCUCUAAAGAAGGAAAGAAAUCCUUGUGGGAUUGGGAUUCUUCACGAAAAUUCUUCUCGAUACUGUCUGCGGGUACGCGAGGGUUUUCAAUUCUACGAGGUAACUCCUUUUUCAUGUUCAAAUUCAAAUAAUUCCCCCUUCUUUGAAAAAAAUUCAUCCUUGAAUCUUCACCUAUAUCAAAAAAAGAUAGAUUUGAAACAUUAAAAGUAGUAAACACUCAAUCCUCACCUGGUAGGUCAAUCUUGUAAGCAUUGUUGUUGAGUCAUUCCAAGACUUGAAAUGGCCCAUCACCCUUAGGAUCUAAUUUAGAUUUUCGUUAUUUAGGAAAUCUUUUCUUCUGCAUAUAAAUCGAAACCUAGUUCUUGGUUGGAAGACAACCCAUUUUCUCCCCUUGUUAGCAUUAUGGGUAUAAGAUUCAUUUCGCUUCUGGAUGUGUUGUCGUACCUUCUCAUGUAUAGUUUUAAUAAGGUUGGCUCUUUGCUGGCCAUCUGUAUUCUUAAUUCCAACAAAGGUAUAGGCAUUAGAUCAAGCAAAGUUAAUGGAUUACAACCAUAGACAAUUUCAAAAUGUUAAAAUCUUGCAGAGGUAUGAAUGCUACAGUUAUAUACAAACUCAACUGUAGGUAAACAAUCUUCCUAAAUUCUCAUAUUUUGACCAACUACAACCCUUAUAGAGAAUCUAAGGUUCUAUCGACCACCUUAGUUUGGUAAUCUACUUGGGGGUGACAUGUAGUGGAAAAUAGUAUUUCAGUCCCUAGUUUACCUUAUAACACUCGCCAAAAGUGGAUAAGGAACUUGGCAUCCCUAUCACUUAUGAUAGUCUUGGGAAUGUCGUAUAGCCUCACAACAUCCCUAAAGAACAAAUUAGUAAUAUUUGUCGCAUCAUGAGUCUUAUGGCAAGCAAUGAAGUAUGUCAUUACUAAAUCUGUCCAUUACGAGAAAUAUAUUCUCACUACCUCUCCUCAUUCUAGGUAGACCCAAAGCAAACUAUAUGAAAAUAUAUAUUCAAGGUGUUAUAGGUCAAACCUAGAUUUAGUUUUCCUACAUGCAAUACAUUAGCUACAUAUGCACUAACAUCAUUUUCAUGUUAUGCCAAAUAAAAAUACUCGUGUAGAAUAUUAAAGUCUUGUACCCAAAAUAACUCGUGCGUCGCCUAAUAUGUGUUUCACGAACUAGCAAUUCUCUAAGUAAACAAAUAGGCACAACAUAGCUUACUUUCCUUAAGAAGGAAACCAUCAUAUUUAUAAAACUUUUGGAAUGCAUAAUGCUCACAUACAUGAUAAACAAGGAAAAAAUCUUUAUCAUUCACAUAUAUAACUUUGAUAUGUUCAAAUCCUAAGAAUUUAAAACUUAAUGUAGCAAUUAAAGCAUACAUUCGAGACAAUGCAUCAACAACAAUAUUAUCUUUACCAUGUUUAUACUUGAGGACAGAAGAGAAUGACUUGAUGAACUUUACUCACUUACCAUGUCAACGGUUGAGUUUACCUUGGUCCUUUAGAUGCUUUAAGGACUCAUGAUUAAUGUGAAUCACAAAUUUCUUCGAUAGUAGGUAAUAUUGCCAUACCUCUAAUGAUCUUACCAAGGCAUACAACUCCUUAUCAUAGGUUGAGUAAUUUAGUAGCGCACCACUAAGUUUUUGCUAAAAUAGGAUACCGAACGCCCUUCUUACAUUAGAACUGCUCUACUACCCACACCUAAAGCGUAACAUUCAAGCUCAAAAGUUUUAUUAAAUUUAGGUAAAGAAAGAAUAAGUGCAUAAAAUAGUUAUUCUCUUAAUAAAGUAAAAAUAGAUUCCUGUUUUUAGUCCAUACAAACUUUACAUCUUUCUUAAAAAAUUCAUUUAAUGGGGUUGCAAUGGAACUAAAAUCUUUAACAAACCUGCAAUAAAAGCUUGUCAACCAAUGGAAUCUUUUUACCCCAUUGGUUGUUGUUGGAGUAGGUCUGCUUUCACUUUAUCCUCAUCCACCUCAAUGUUUGUGCACUUACCACAAACCCUAAAAAUAUUAAUUUAUCACUGCAAAAAGUCCAUUUCUUAUCAUUAAAAUAUAACUGCUCAUUCCUAAGAACCUUAAGGACAGACUGGAUAAUAUUGGAGGUACUCCUUUAAGGACUUACAAUAUAUUAGGAUAUCAUCAAAGUAAACUACAAUAAAUUUACCAAUGAACGGUUGUAGGACAUAGUUCAUAAGUUUCAUAAAGGUACUAAGGGCAUUUGACAUACCAAAGGGCAUUAUUAAUCAUUCAUAUAGAUCAUACUUCAUCUUAAAUGUGGUCUUCCAUUUGUCCCCCAGUUUCAUCCUAAUUUGACAAUAACUAUCUCUUAAUAUCUAUUUUAGUAAAAAUAAAAGAAACACUAAGUUCAUCCAACAUAUCAUCCAGCCUAGGGAUGGGGUAUCUAUACUUUACUAUUAUUUUAUUGAUGACUCUGCAACCAACACAUAUCCUUCAAGAACCAUCCUUAUUAGGUGUUAGUAGCAUAGGAACAACACAAGGGCUCUAGUUUUCUCUAACAUGUCCCCUUCUUAACAACUUCUUUACUUAUCAUUGAAUUUCCUUCAUUUCCUCAAGGUUACUUCGAUAGACAGAACGAUUUAAAAUUGAUGCUCCAGGGACAAAAGUCAAGCUAGUGCUCUAUCCUUCAGAGUGGUAGAAGAUCAUCUAGGAUUUUCUCUAAAAAGACAUCCUCGAACUCCUAUAAAAAAAAGGAAACAAGACUAGACAAUGAAGAGGUUAAGGUCAGAUAAGUUUAAAUAAGCCUCUUUAUACUGAAGCACAAUUAGACUCUUUUUCUCAUAAAUUACUCGCCUCACCUCUCAUGCAGUCAUAAAAAGACUUUUUUUUCUUUUCUUUCUCUCACUUUCUCUCAUGGGCCUUUAUUCUUUUUUCUUUUAGGUCUCUUUUUCACUCAGUGGGUCAUUCUUUUUUCUUUCAAUCUCUUUCUCUCUCAAUGGGUUAUUCUCAAUUUUUUUCAGCUUCUUUUUCUCUUAAUGGGUCAUUUCUUUUCUUUUCAGCCUCUUUUUUUCUCAGUGAGCCAUUUUUUUUCUUUUCAACCUCUUUUCUUUCUUUUUCUAUUUUUUGUUCUAAAUGUACAUUAAUAGCUCUCUUGACCUUGAUUUGAUCCUUAUGUACCCCUUUUAGUGAUAGAGGUGUAAAAAUAUGAUUUAGACUUUUUUACGUAACGAGUAACAGUUGGUGAAACCGUUAUGUUGUACUUGUCUAUCAAACUACUAAGAUCUCCUAACUAUCAAAUGACUGGCAUACAUAGGUACAACAUCACAACAUACCUCAUUCUUAUAUUUGUUGAUGGAGAAAGAUACCAUGACUUACUUCGUGACUUUGACUUCACCACACUCAUGUCACCAGUGUAAUCAGUAAGGACUAUGGUGCUUAGUGCAUGUUAACUCCAANNNNNNNNNNNNNNNNNNNNNNNNNNNNNNNNNNNNNNNNNNNNNNNNNNNNNNNNNNNNNNNNNNNNNNNNNNNNNNNNNNNNNNNNNNNNNNNUAAAGCAACAUGUAUGGAAUAUGUUCUUCUGUUGUUUAUUGUUUGUGCUCGUAAGUUAUAAAUUUAGAGCUCUUUGAACUACAAGGACAUUAUCCCAUAUUAGAGUUUCUUUAAUUGUUUGAGAUAUAGUAAAGCACCUGCAAAAAAAAGGCUAGUAAAAAAAAAUUCCUCCUUCUUACCUUCACUUGUGUUUACUUCAUAAUCUCUUACACUCAACUUCUUCCCUCAAGUUGAGCGUUUGAAAUCUAAUUCUCUUAAAUCAAGAUCUGCACGUUAGUCUUAAAGACACAACAAUAAGUCUUAAGGGGAUCUUGUUUUUAGAAGCUUAAAAUUAAGCACACAAAUGAAGAAGUUGUGAUGCUUUUAUUAAUAAUAUGUUAAGUAACUUGAAUGCAAUAAGCUACUUAGAUGUGUCUUGGAAUAAAAAUAUAAUUAGAAAAAAUAAACUUAGAACACAAAGAAACAAAUAUGGAUUUAAAGUGUAAGGGAUUUGAUCAAUCUUGAUGGAUAUAACAAGUAUCUUAUUCCUAAUUAUUCCACCCCAAUGAUAACUACGCUCUACGAUUGAUUAAAUUUCUUUAUUUAAAUGUAAAUCCAGACUCAAUGAUGUUGUGCUUGAAAUUAAAAUAUGAAGCAAAUGGUUUUCGCACACUUUUUGGUGAGGUAAUCUUCCUUUGAAAAAUAAAGGUUUUCAUCACACUGAUAGGCAAUUAAUCUCCCUUAGCUUGUAAAUGCAAACAUAAUGAAUGUUGAAUUGUCUUAUGAUGUGCAAUCACUUUUCUUUGAUUUUUUUGGAUUUUUUUAACUAAUUAAACAAAUGAACUUCUAUUUAAAAGAAUAAUUAGAUAAUAUCAAAUGGGAUGCAAUAAAAUGGAUUCAAAAUUAGGUGUUUGAUUGCUAAUUAUGCAACAAUAAUAUGCAAAAAAAUUUAAGAUAGUAGAUUCAAUGGUGCCUAAGCUCUGAUACUAAAUGAUGUGGGACCUCCAGGAUCAAAACACCUUGAUCAUGAACCCACAUCAACAGUAGCAAGCUGAAACUUAAUUUCCUAAUUAAAUCCUCCCUACUUGAACUAUAUUCAACAAUUUGAAUGCAAACCAAGUUGAUUGGGAAUUAAAAUAAGGAACAAAAAAGCCAUUACGACUUACCCGAUAAGUUGAUUCAGAUUUUUUGACUCAACAAGAUGGUUGAAGCAACCUCCCUUGAAGAACACUCACUCUCACACAUUAGUAAAACUUCUUAUAAAGAAUAAAACUUAAAGCCUUAAUUGAAUAAUCUGAAUUGUUGUGAUUAUAGCCUAAGGUCAGGCCUUUAUAUAAGCAUUCACCAGAAAAAUUCUAUAAAAACUCAAAUACUUGACUUUUAUUCAAACUCUAUCUAUAUUCUAAGUUUAUCUAAAUCUUAAGAUUAAAAUAAUAAUUAAAUACAUUAAAAUAAUCAUUUAAAUAAUAAAAUAAUACUUAAAAUAUCUAGAUAGAUAAUCCUCCUCUCUUUGGUCGGUCCUUGUGAAUUAUUCUGUGUGCGUUUUUGCUUCAUUUAGUUGUAAAGUCAUAAGAAACAUGUGAUUAAAAUAAAGAAAAAGCUUUCUCCUUCAACUCGCAUGAGUAAGGCCAUUGGGAUUGCCUUACCGCAGGUUUACAUCCAUUUGGUUUUAUCUUUUCUCCCUUUAUUUGCAUUCUUUUCAAUCUUAUAAGGAUUCUUCCCAUUGAUCGCUUAAAAAGAAGAAGUGCAACUUACGAAAGACUCUUAUUGCCAUAAAAACGACCUCCCUCACGUGAGAGGGAACCCCACGAGUGAAAGUUAUCUCUCCUGCACAUGUGUUUGCCUGCACAUGUGAACAAGAACAUUCACAUGUGUGCCAUGUGACAUCCGCGACUUUUCAUGUUCGGUCGACCUUGAUCUCGCUUUCUAUUGGGCCUCCUAACUGAGCUCUUCACUUACCCAUUCUUGGACCAAUAUGUUGAAAGCUAGUUGAAACUUAUUCUAACUUUUAACUUAUUAGCUUGACUCCUCGUGAUUGGGCCUAAGGGCAUUUAGAUCCUAUUUCUAACUCUUAAAUAUCAUCUUGAUUAUUUUUAGGCAGUCUUUAGGCUUGAGAAGGAUUAGGAAACAAGGAGGAAUUAGGAAAUGAGCUAGGCUUCAAGUUGGUUUCCUCUUUGGUGCUUGGGCUGUGGGUUUCUAAAUAAAAAAAUAAAUCCUUGCGGUAUUGGGAUUCUCCACAAGUAUUCUCCCAAGUACUGUCCGCAAGCACGCGAGGGUCUUCGAUUCCGCAAGCUAACUCCUUUGUCAUGUCUAGAUUCAUAUUAGUCUUUUGUCCUGAUAAUUAGGGACUAGCAAUGGCCUUUUAUUAUUUUAAAAUAUCUAGGAGCUCUCUCCUUAUUCUUUAUUUAGUUAUUCGACCACUUGAACCUUUUCUAAGACUCCUCGAUAUGUCACUAGAACGAACACAAUUACCUAACGAUAAAGGUCAGGCCUCAGUCCUCUCUCAAACCUUCGGGCCUUCUUAGCUCAUUCAUCAUCAUGUCCAGGGAAAACCACCUCAACUUAAUGAAUUUUUCUAAUUACUCUGCCACUGUGAACUUUGCUUGGUGCAACUCUAAGAACUCAUUUCUUUUUCUACUGUCUAAUGAAAUUAGGAAAAUACUCGGCGUUGAAUGCCUCUAAGAAAAUUUCCCAGGUAAUGGGAGGAAUCAUAGCUCUUUUCUUCAAGUUCCACCAAUGUUCUACUGCUCCUUUUAACAUGAAAAUAACUAAUUGAACCUUCUAUUUGGUAGUGACUUCUAUUACUUCUUUUUAAAAUAGUUUUUCUAUCUCUUUAAUCCACACCUCUACUAUAAGUAGAUCAAAAUGGCUUGUAAACACUGGGGGACCCAACUGUUUAAACCUCUCAUUGUUGCUGGAGUCAACACCUGCAUGAACCAUAUUUUGAUGUUGAUAGUAGGGUGGUUCCGGGCAUAAUUCUCACUCUUGAACAAUUGUCACUAGGCUCUCCACGACUUGGCACAGCUUGUUAAAAUAUUCCUAAUUGAGACCUUUUUGGGUUGGUUUAACCUUGUGGAGCAGGGGGGUGACCCUUAAUGAGUUAGAAGUGGUGUUUAUUGAACUGGGGGCCAGUCUUGAGGAGCUAGGGUUGGCCCUCUCUAAGGUCGACCUCUGCCUCGUUCACAUUUCUAUUAUUCUUGCAAUUCAAAGGUAUUUUCACCUAAGAUCAUAAGAGAAAUUCAAUUUCCUUCUAAUCUAUAUAAAUUCUCAAGUCUAUUGUACAAAUGAUGGUCCUAGGAAAGUUGUUGUGAUACCCACUAUAACAACCUGUGAUUUUGAUGAAAUCACAAGUAUCUAAACAUCUUGAACAUUUAAAAUGCAAUGUCAAAUUUGUAUGAAAAUGCAAAAUACAAAUUUAUCCAAACUCUCAUCUUUCUAAUUUUAGUUAGAUCUAAAUAAUUAAAAUAGUCACGUAACAUAUCUCUAAUCUCAAAAAACUAAGUAAUACUUCAGAGUCUGAAAACUUAUAUAUCAAUACUAAUCAAAGAUAACAUAAAUCUCAUAUACUUAGAGGGUCUAGUCACUAUCGUAACUAGUCUUGUAUUUGCUCUUAGGUUUCAUGUUCUUAAAAAGAAUGAAAAAGAUUGAGCUGCACAUGCUUAGUACGAACCAUUUAGUACCCUAACCUGCAUAAAUGUAAAUAGUACAAGUGAACCCUCAGUAUACUGUAUCUAAGUGAGACCGGAUUCAUUUCUAAAUGAGUGUUACUAAUCUCGAAUAUCUUAUUUAUUCGAAUUAUUCAUCACUUUAAAACAUUUUUCUAGACAUUGUUAAGUAUUUUACUUUUCUAUUUCCCUGUUAAUAGUAAAAUCAAGUAAUCACUCAACAUUUUACCCAUAAUGCAAUAUAAUUCACUUUUUCUUUUACUUUAAUAUCACUUAUCAACUAUAUAAUGACAAUUUAUAACUAUAACCGAUAGUGCGUCAAAACAUCUUCAUUGUCCAUUUUUUAGUACUAAAUUGAAUUUUUUUAUAUUUGAUUUAAGCUAUUUUAUUCAUUUUGAUACAGGAUAGAAGAUGGAGCCCUACGUCAGGAAAACAACAUAAACAGAGCAGAUUUUGUGAAGUAGUUGUCAAUCAUUGUAUAAGUUUUCGUCAAGGCUUAAACCCUGCAGCAAAGGCAGAUUUUGGCUCACACACAAUCAAGCCUCGGGCAAGGUUAAUGUAUCAGAAAGGGCUAUAAGUCUCAGUACACCAGAUUAAGCCUCGACCAAGCCUUAAACAUGUGCAGCAACAUAUUUGACAAAAAAAAGAUGCACUGUCGAAUUAAAAGAAGAAAUUUAGUUGCGCCCGAAAAAGGAAANNNNNNNNNNNNNNNNNNNNNNNNNNNNNNNNNNNNNNNNNNNNNNNNNNNNNNNNNNNNNNNNNNNNNNNNNNNNNNNNNNNNNNNNUACUAAGCCCACCAUGAGUGGCUGAUAACAUUCGUUGCUAGUUACAGAUUUAUUGAAAAUUCCAAUUUGAAUUAUGAGAUCUAAUUGCUUUAUUUAUGAUUUCAUUAAAGCUUCAGUAUUUGCUUAUUUCUAUGUGUGUAUUAUUAUUGUUGCUUGUUAACUGUUUGACUAUGGCUGGUUAGAUGCGUGACAAGGCAAUAUACUACCAUUUGAAAAUCCUGAAUCCGUAAUUAUUUGGGUUAUUUCGAUACUCAAUAGUAAAUUAGUCUUUAAGCUAAGGGAAUAGGUGAUCUGAUUGAACAGGUCACGUGGUUGAAUCUGACAACUAGAUACAGGUUCUUUUAGUUCUCAAGGCUGUUGAUAGAUUAAAUUCUAUAAACAUUUCCAAGACUAUUUAUCAAUAAAAAUAAACUAACAAAUAUUUUUUGGUUAAUUAAGGAUUAAGGAAGAAUCGGUUGUCGGAACAUUUUCGAUAACCAAAACUAGUUUGUAGAGCUUUAGUAAGACCGAUCAUUAUAUCGAUGGUCAAUUUCACUAUUGGAAUCUAGCUACUUCUUUAACUGGGAUUAUUCUUAUAUCUGUUAUUUCUUUGAUUGUCUUCUGUUCCAUUGUGUAAAUUUUAGCUUAGUAGUUUGUUUUUUUUCAUCGUUUAAACUUGAAGAAAAACCCCCUGCUCUUGUUUUCGUUGGUCAAAGAAGAAUACAAUAUCCGAAUUUGUUUUCAACAGAUAUUGCAAUGCCACAAGAGUAUGAAAAUAUAAUGACCUUAGUCUCUAAUAAAUAAGAGCAGAACUUUUUCAAGACAAACGCAACAGCAAGUAGUUAUUUUUCAGUGGUCGAGUAGUUGACUUGAACACUAUCUAGAUAUAAUACCCUGAAACCUCUAUAUUCGGAUAUUGUAUUUUUAAAUUUUAUAUUUUUGUGAAGAGGAAGGAGGGGAAGGUGCUUUAAAUAGCCUUCCCAAAUGAAUGUGAUCUGUUGGAUCACAUGUAAUUAAUGGUAGCCAUUGAUCGGCCAACUGGCUAAGUGGCCACCCCCACAUGGCGUGCAUGUGUGCCAUGUCGUAACCAUGCAUGCCCAAUAGUGGGCUAACAAGACAACCCAUCCGUCGAGGGUCACGCAAAGUGACCUUGCAAGUGGUUGCACACUUCAGGCGGACAACGCGUGCACCCAAGCUGACGCGACAGUCCCUGCAAACGUACAGGCAUGCGCGAACAAUCACAUGCGACGUCCCUGCGUGCGCAGCAAACACGUGGGCAUAGUCACAGCCUUUCACGCAGGUUCACAGGUCCUUUCCCUCCAUUUUUCUGUUUUUGUUUUAUCUUUUAUUCUUUUUAAAAAAUUUUAAAUUCUUUUUAGCUAAAACAAAAAUUAAAAAUUAAAAAUAAAUUCAUGCACAAUAUAAUUUAAAUGCAUAUUAAAAUUAAAACACUAUAAUUUAUUAAAAUAUAAAAUUUAAAAAUACAAUAUCCGAAUAUAGAAGUUUCGGGGUAUUAUAUCUAGAUAGUGUUCAAGUCAACUACUCGACCACUAAAAAAUAACUACUUGCUGUUGCGUUUAUCUUGAAAAAGUUCUGCUCUUAUUUAUUAGAGACUAAGGUCAUUAUAUUUUCAUAUUCCUGUGGCAUUGCAAUAUCUGUUGAAAAAGAAAAAAGCCAAAUCAAGACUAAUUCGAUGGAUACUCUAACUGCAGGAAUUCGAUUUAGAAAUAAGAGACAAAAGGGGUAUGGAGAAUUUUAUUGCUGAUCACCUUAGUCAUCUGCUGUUAAAGGAAGAGCUUAUGCCAUUGAAAGAUGAAUUUCCAAAUGAACACCUUUUCUGGGUAACGCUGUGGACACUCUGGUACGCUGACAUAGUCAAUUAUUUGGUCACCAACACAUUGCCAGCUAAAUUGUCCAGAGCACAAAAAGAUAGAAUCAAGAAGAAUAAUAGUAAUAUGUGUGAGAUGACCGUGCAAAUCAGAUCAUUCGCUGAUGCAUCCCUAAAGUAGAAGUUCCUUCCAUCCUGAACUUUUGUCAUUCUCAUGCUUGCGGGGACACUUCAGUCCUAAGCGCAUGGUGCGCAAAGUGCUGGAAUGCUGGUUAUUUUGGCCUUCCCUGUUCCGUGACGCAUAUAUCUAUAGUAAAAUAUGUGAAAUUGCCAACAUACAUGAAAUUAGGCCGCAAGGAUUAGAUGUCAUUAACACCCAUCCUAGUCUACGACAUCUUUGAUGUGUGGGGGAUAGAUUUUAUGGGACCCUUUCCAUCCUCCUUCGAAAACUCAUAUAUUUUACUUGCAGUGGAUUAUGUCUCCAAGUGGGUGAAAGUUAAGGCCACCAGAACCGACGACGCCCAAAACUGUUGUCAACUUCAUCAAAACCCAUAUCUUUGUUAGGUUUGGAGUGCCUCAUGCGAUGAUAAGUGAUAGGGGAAUACAUUUUUGUAAUCGAAUUGUGGCUUUAAGAAGUACCAUGUCAGACACCGUACCUCCACCACUUACCAUCCGCAGAUCAGUGACCAAGCAGAAGUUUCAAACAAGGAGGUGAAGUCCAUACUAGAGAAAAAAUUCAACCCCAACAAAAAAAGACUGGAGCUUAUGGCUAGAGGAUGCUCUAUGGGCCUACAUUACAGCCUACAAAACUCCUAUCGAAAUGUUAUCCUACUGCCUGGUUUUCGGUAAGGCCUACCACCUUCCUGUGGAGCUAGAACACAGGGACUAUUAGGCAAAUAAGAGUUACAACAUGAAGAUAGAAGAGGCCAAGCAACAUAAGAAGCUGCAACUACAGGAAUUGGAAAAGAUAAGAAAUGAAGCUUACGAAAAUUCACGAAUAAAUAAAAAGAAGAUAAAGUCCCUCCAUGAUCGAAUAGUCACCAAAAAGUAGUUUUUUUGUAGGACAGGAGGUCCUACUUUAUGAUUCCCAUCUGAAGUUGUUUCCCAGAAAAUUACGUUCUAAGUGGUUAGCCCCUUUAUUGUCACAAAAAAUUCCACGCCGGAGCAGUUGAGAUCAAGAGUCUAGACACGGAUAAAACAUUCAAAGUAAAUGGACACCGACUCAAGCCAUCUAUGAAAGAUUUGUAGGACAACAAGUUGAAGAGCUCAUCCUAGAAACCCCUACAGAUAACAACCGAUAGCGCAGAGGCAAUCUCUAGCCUAGGACAGUACACAAGGGUGUUUAACAAGAGGCAACCCAUUUUUUCUCGUUUUUUUUCUAUUUUCCUUAAAACUAUUUUGAUGUUUUUAAAAUAUAUGUGUUAUUAAGGUUUUAACCUCAAUCACUCUAACUGGAAUUUUCUUCUUUAUUUACAGGCUGUUGAAGAAACAAUGCAAGACCACUGGGUCACCAGGCUGUAAAGACUGCAUUACCCUUGCCUAAGGCUAAGAGCGAUAACCCAAGCCUUGCCCAAGACGAAGAGUGAUAACCCAAGCUUUGCCCAAGGCCUAGAGCGACAAGUUAAGCCUUGCCAAAGGGUUAGCGCGUGCCUUGUCUAAGGGUUAAUAACUUCACAAGCCUUUUCAUGGAUCGGAUGCAAGCCACAAGGCUUAAACCAUGGUAACAUAAGAAGUCUAGUUUAGAAAUAUUUAGAUAAUUCAUGCCCAAGGGUUACGUUGUAGAUGUGAUUGAAGUUUUAUACUGUGUAACCUUUGCCCAAGGCUAAAGUGAAAAAAAGAAAAAAAAAAUUCCCCUUGUGAACUAUCCACUAAGCCUUUGUCUAGGCUCAUGACACCUGACGUCCAUUUUAAAUUUAAAAUCCCUACCCUAAAACACCACUCCCCACUUUCACAAUCAAACUCUCACUCUUUUCCCUAAUCACAACCUCUCACCUCAAACCACAAGCUCCACCUAAGGAACACGCUUCACUGCAUGAUGCAAGCAACCCCUCGACCCCAUAGCAGAUGAACCUCUAGUGUCUCCCACCCCCUAGCCAACAAUACUAGGGGAUUAUUCUAUCCUUUCUUUUUCUCUUAUUCUGUUUUUUUUUUCAUUUCUUAUUUUCUGGUUUUCAUGCUACCUUGCUUGUGUCAAAUUGGGGACAAUGUGCCUUUUAAGGGUCGAAGAGGCACAUGCUGCACUUUUACGUUUCCAUUUUGGUCACAUUUUUUCUUUUAAGUACAUGCUGAUAUGCAUUCGUAGCCCUACCCAAGUCACACAUAACUACAUUUUCAACUAUUUUUAACCCCAUCUUUUCACUACUGCCUUGGUAUUUCCAAAAUAAUUUAACUGGUGUUUCAAGAACUAAAUUACAUUUUCAGUAACCUUCUAAGAUUUCUGACUUAUUUUUCAUCUUUUCACACCAUGAAGAACUAUUUCUAUUAAUAUGUCUUAACAUAACUUGUUUAGGAAUUGCAUUCAAUUGAUUUUCUCUUGUCCUGAGGUGAACACUAGUGCCUAGGGAACUUACACAACUAUCUGUCUGAAUUUGCAUGUUCAAAUUCACCAAAAAAAAGGAGAGAAAGAGCAUGAACCAUAAACUACUCGUCUAGUUGAAUGAAUUUAUAACCAAUUGUGUAACCCGGUGCAUUCAUCAUAAAUGUUUGUCAUCACGUCAAAAGGUUGGUAACAUUUAAGAUAGCCAUAAAAGUGUUAGUCAAUCGAUUAUGAAUAGUACUAGUAGCCUCUGAAAAUUGUGACCAGCUGAGUAACCGGGUGCAUUCAUCAUAAAUCUUUGCCCUCACAUAAAAAAGUUAAUGAAAUUUUAAGUCAACAAAAGAGUGCUCAAGAAGUAAUUAUUUUAAUUAUUUGUUCUCACAAUAACCCAUUUGCAUUAAGACUUUAUGUUUAGACAAGUUUAGUGUGGAUUUUACCCUAGUUAUUGGCUAUUCUUUUCAAGAUAAAAAUGUGUUCAAAAACCUACAAAACCUUUCCAUUUUAUGCUUGGAUAUUAUUCAAAGUAGUUAUUCUUUGGUGUGAUUCCAAGAAACUCAAGCCUAAAACUGCUAGUAAGGACUGUUUUUGCAAAUUUAAGAUUGAAAUAUAACAUGCAAGUUGUGGAAAAAUUAUUAAGGGCAGUAGGGUUGAGGGUGCAAGGUUGAGACUUGUUGAGUUAUAUUGUGAAGUGCUUGGAGGCAAGCACAAGAUAAAUGUGGAGGAGUUUAAUAGUGUGUAAAAACAUCAUCUUCAUUGCCCAUUUUUAAGUACUUAAUUGAAUUGUUUGCUAUCUAAAUUAAACUAUUUUAUUCAUUUUGAUAUAAGACAGAAGAUGGAGCCUAAGUCAAAAAAAUAACAAAAAAAGAGCAGAUUUCAUAAAGCAACUGUCAGUCAUGGUAUAAGCCUCAAUCAAGACUUAAACCCUACAGCAACAACAGACUUUGGCUCGCACACAAUCAAGCCUUGGGGAAAGCUAAUGCAUUAGAAAGGGCUAUAGGUUUUAGGUACACCUGACUAAGCCUCGGUCAAGGCUUAGACACGUGCAAUAGUAUAUUUUAAAAAAAGGCACAUUACCGAAGUAAAAGAAGAAAUCCCAUUGCAACCAUAAGAGGAAAUCAAGAAUCAAGGAAGAGAUUAUUUUGGAAAGCAAGAAGGAAGUCGAAAUCAUUAGGAAAGAUCUCUAUCUUUGCAAAAAGAAAACCCUAAUCCUCCUGGGGUUUAAAAGGAGAAGAAAACCAGAGAAGAAGGCAUCAUGGAUGCUACACACUGCAACACUUGUAGCUUUCUAAAAUUUUCUUCCUUUUUUCUCUUUUCAAUAGUCAUAAAACUCUAUUAUGUACUAAGCCCAUCAUGAGUUGCUGGUAACUUUCUUUUCCAGUUACAGAUUUAGUGAAAAUUCUAGUUUGAAUUGUGAGAUAUAAUGGCUUUAUUUCUUGUUUCAUUAAAGCUUCGAUAUUCGUUUAUUUCUCUAUGCGUAUUAUUGUUGCUCCUUGUUAACCAUUUGAAUAGGGCCUGUUAGCACGCGACAAGCAACAUACUACCAUCCAAAUACUAAUCCGUAAUUAUUUGGGUUGUUUCGAUACUCAGUGGUAAAUUAGCCUCUGAGCUAAGGAUAUAAGUGAUCUAGUUGAGUGGGUCACACGGUUGAAUUCGACAACUAUAACUAAGUUCUUCAAGUUUUCAAGGUUAUUGAUAAAUUAAAUUCUAGGAACAUUUCCAGAGCUAUUUAUCAACAAAAAUCAAUUAAUGAACAUUUUUUGGUUGAUUUAGGAUUAAGAAAGAAUCGGUUGUCAGAACAUUUCUGAUAACCAGAACUAGUUUGUCGAGCUUUAGUAAGACCAAUCAUUGCAUUAAUGAUUAAUUUCACUACUGGAAUCUAGCUACUCCUUUAAUUGGGAUCAUUCUUAUAUCUACUUAUUUCUUUGAUUGUCUUUUGUUUCUUUGUUUAAAUUUUAGCCUAGUAGUUUGUUUCUUUUCAUCGUUUGAACUUAAAGAAAAACCCCAUGCUCUUAUUUUUCGUUGGUCAAAGAAGAAAAGUUGUUCUUGAUUCCCUAAGGAUUCGACCCUAUUUACCACUAUUAUAAUUCUAUUUUGUUGGUUGAAUAUGACUUUUAUUUUUGGUGGAUUUGAUACCCAUAAACAAUACAUCUUAUUUUUUUCAUAAUUGGACACCUAUAUCUUAUUGUACAAUGUCAUUUAAAUCAUUAUUAAAGAGGGCAGUAAAGAUCACCUCUAUCAACGUGAACACAAUCAUAGAAAUAGUGAAAACUAAAAUAUGCUUCCACUAUACGGGACUCACUAAUCGACCGACAUCAGCAACAUACACACCCACCCCUCAACGGACAUAGUAUAGUAUAACAUAUUAGAUAUUUUUUGCAUGGGUUCACUAAUCAACCAAAAUAAGCCAUACACACAUCUAUCCAUCUGUAACACCCCACUCACCACUGUGUUUAAUUUAUAUUUGAAAAAUCCUAUUUAUUUGGGUCUUAUGGUCACACUAAACUCAUUUAUUUUAUUCCGCAGCUUAUUAUCGUGAUUCGUAAAUUAUGUUUAUUUUUAUUUUGUUUAAUUUUAUUUAAUUUUAUUUUGAUUUAAUUGUUUAAUCGUCAUUUUUUUUUAAAUAAACGAUUUUCAGAAAAAAUAAAAAAUAGGGAGAAAAAUCUUGCGAGAUUCUGCCCACGUGGGCGCCCGUGUGGUGUGUGCGCUCGUGCACACUUCCCAUCGCGCGGCGUAGAGGACAGGCCUGCGCACGCGUCUUGUCACGCACAGGCAGGACCUGUCCACGUGCGUCACAUUGCGUGCAAACAGGUAGGCGCCACACACUGUGUGCGGCCAUUCGUGCAAUAAGCCUGCAUGAAUUGGCUUGCGCGCCUUGGGCCUGUGCUCGGCUCCUCACCACGCCUUGGCCCUGUGCACAUAGGCCAGUUCCUGCGGCAGGGUAGACUGGCGCCUAAAGGCUAGGCCUACAAUGAGCACUAGGCAAAUGAGGCCAUUGCCACCUCGGACAGUGUGUCGUCGCCCAUCUUGGGUGGCAUGCUGCUGCUUAAGGUGUCGCCACCAGUGGAGGAGGUUUUUUUCCUCCGUUUUUCAUACUAAAUCUUUUUACUCUCUCUCCACCAGAUUUUACCACUUGGCACAAAUCCAAUGGCCUCCAUUUUCUAUAAAUAUGGGUCUUUCCUCCCAUUUUCUCUUCACUUUCAUUCUUCCACCUUUCAAGAGUUAGAGAGAGAGAAUGAGAGUGAUUUAGAGAGAGAAUGAGAGGAGAAAAAGAAGAAUGGUGUAGAAAAAAUUAUCAAGGUUUCGAUAAGAAAUUUAGUAUUUCUUUAGACAUCUUAAUGGAUAUUUUUAGACAAAAAAAAGGAUUAAAUUGAUAAUUCUAUGACUUUACGUAUUUUGCAUGCUCUAUGUUAGUAGACUUAAUAAGUUGAAUUGUUCUUGAUUUCGAGCAUACUAUAUGAGUUAUAGAUACUUGAUGAUUUGCAUAUAAUUAAAAUAAUAUAAAACAGGUAAGGCUAUAUAGAAAAAAAAAAAAAAAAAAAAAAGUAGAAUAAAGUAUGAAUGGUCCGAAGUAUGUACCUGUAUUGACAUGCAUAACGCAUUAAGUAUCUCAUUAGACUUUUUAUCUCUAAGGAGUAUCUAUUCCUCUAUCCCCAUUCGGGAUAUUUUUUUUUCCUCCCCCAUCUGGUAUGGAAAGACGUAAAAGGAAUGUUCCUUAUAGAUGACGGCAUACCCUCUGACGAGAGUAGUGAUGCAAAUAUCUGUUAGGAGUCACAUUUAGUUAAAUAUUUUCGUAACUAUAGAAUAUUUUAUAGGAUCACUAUGCUUGGUACGACCAUGGUCAUAGAUCGUACCAUGGUUUGGCAAUCCGGAAAUGUCUCUGAGUAAAUUGUCAUUAUCUCUAUCUAAUCUGGUCAUUCUAAAUGGAUAGUCGAAAAUUUAUAUCUGCCUUCAAAGAUAUAAGCCGUAACGACUUUACGAAGCAUGACACAAAAAUCUGAGUAUUUCAUUAUUUAUUUGAUUUUCUCUAUUGUUAGGUAUACUGUGUUUUAUUUUAAUUGUUGACUAUAACGUGAUUUUUUUUAAUAAGUAAAUUAUUUUCAUAAGGUAAGAUAGAUCUACGACGUACCUAAAUGGUAAGUAUUUAUGUUAGAAUUAUUCACCUUUUAAAACCUUAUGAUGUUAACUAAAUACUAUUUUUCUUACUGAGCAUAUGAAACUUACUUUUUCUAUGCUCCCAGAUGAGGAAGAUGAUGAGGAACCAUCAGCUGAUAUACCCAUUGAACUUUAUGAGGAUCCCAUAGAUCUGCAUACUUUGAGUGCAUGAUCGUCCUCGCACUCUGAUGAGUCCAAUAGUAUAAUGAUAGAAGUGGCUCUCUUUUGUAUUUUGACAUUGUAUUUUCCGGUCACUUCUGGCCUCACUUAUAUAUAUAUAUAAUUGAAACUCAUAUAUUUAUAAGGAAUUUGUAUUAAUUUGCUUUGUUACAUAUAAUUUUUAUCAUGCACUCGUAAUUUUUUUUCUGUAUCUGACACCUCAAUGCCUUAAUUAGCGUCUGAGAUGUCACACCAUCCAAGAACAUAACCACUGCAAUCACAUCUAUAUCAUACCGCAUAGCAAGUACAAUGCACUAUAAGUGUAAUUACAUCUAUACCGGACUACAUAGCAAGUACAAUGCACAUUACCAUAAAAUAUCUUUUUCGUCCACGUGAUAGGUUUCAUCAUCAACCAUAUCGACCGAAUCUCGGCCACACACACGCAUUAAUUUGCUUUCACAUUUUGAUUUGAAUUUUCCCUUUAAUUUUAAAUUUUCGCUCAAUAGAUUAUAUAUUUAUUUCAUACCUUUUUUUUUAGUUAAUUAAUUUCUUUCCUUACGUAUUUUUCUCUAACUUUAACCUUCACAACGAACUUAACAUUUAAUAUCAUUCCAUUAAUAUUUUAUUCGUAUAGUUUCAUUAAUAAUUUUUGUUUAACCCUAUUUGUCUAUUUAGUUAAUUUUUUGUUGUACAUUUAUGACAAGGUUUAAUACUAACCCCACUCACAACCCUAUCGUACAUGGUAUUCUUCGAUAUAUUUAUAAAUAGGCUCUAUAAUAUACUUCUAAUUUAAUAUUUUUAUUAAUUUUUGUUGGUGAUAUUAAUUUCAAAUCCACUUCUGGUUUUAAUUUUUGGACCAAUAUCCUUAGUCAACCUAUUAGACAUUUUAUUUUGACCCAUUAUAUCAUUUUGGAUAAUUAAUUCACUCUUAUCAUAUGUUAUCAUUAAUACUAUUAUUGUUAUUAUAAUUAUUAUUACUAUAACUUAUUUAUUUAUUCUUUUCUUCCUUUUUGGGUCUCUAUUCAGUGGCCCACUUUCCUAUUGCCCAUUAAGAUAAUAGUUUUGAUUUUAGAAAAAGACUUGGCUCUACCCUUGAAAUUUCUAGUUCUGACUCCUUUAGAAAUUAUAUUUUCGGGCUUGACUCGUUUAAGCCAUUGGUUAGGAACCAUCUAUCUUUUAUAGGCUCAACCCAUUAAUAUGUUUUAGGUUCAGCCCAUUCAGAAAUCAAUUCCCCAUAACCCUAAAGUUUCCUACAUCUUAUCUCUCCACCCAUGAACACAGAAGGGUUUACAAAUUAUAUUUGUAACACUUCAUUUAUAAUCACAUGUAUAGAUUCCUAAUAGAUGAAAAUGGGUGUAUUUGGUCGUUUCUAAUCUACCAUUUUAAAGAUAUAUUUUAGAUAAACUAAUUUAGGAAUUGCUUCAGAUGUAUUAAAUUACAAUUAUGGGUUAAGAAACUAAAUCAAUCUUAGUCUUCUUAGAUUAAUGAUGGUGUGAGUUUGAUUUGCGAUGAUGAUUAUUGCUUUUCCCUAAGCUACACAUACACAAAAAAAAAAAAACCCACUUUGUCAUGAAAACCCAAAUCGACGAUGAAGUUCAUCCCAUUUUUGGGUCUAUGAAAAUGAAGGAAACACUUACCAAGAGACUCACCACUCAUUGCAUAAAUGUCUAAAAUCCCGAAUUAACUUCUAGCCUUAAGCCUUCUGCUGCACCUUCACCUUCUUCAACCUUUCGAAACACUUUCCCUUCUCUCUUCUGUCGCUUCGUUCGGGUUUAGGAUUAAG
Molecule: long non-coding RNA, 21840 nt
Filed under: Carica papaya (papaya)
Lineage: Eukaryota; Viridiplantae; Streptophyta; Magnoliopsida; Brassicales; Caricaceae
Description: long non-coding RNA (CPAP_LNC009405)
Source: RNAcentral